This is a long non-coding RNA of Dreissena polymorpha, 1637 nucleotides long. RefSeq lists it as uncharacterized. The record is from RefSeq and is a predicted model, not a curated record. Lineage: Eukaryota; Metazoa; Mollusca; Bivalvia; Myida; Dreissenidae. The transcript is spliced from 4 exons.
UAAUAUUAUUUGCUAACACCAUUCAGCAUGUUUUUUUUAAAUAUUCACAAUUAAAUAUAAUAUGCUAAGGGUGCUGUGUAUUAUUCAAUAAAUACAUAUAUGUUGGUGUUGAAAUCAGUAGAUAUUUCUCAGAUUUAGUAAUUGGCUGACACACAUAAGAGAUUAGCCCCCCCCCCCCCCCCCCAAUUAAAUCAUAAACAUUAAUUCUUAUCACAGUAUCAGUGCUCCAUCUAUAGGCCUAACAAAGGGGUGUUGAUAGACUUUUGAUUGGCUGAGCCACCAUCUAUUUGAAAACAAGCGACUUUGAUUGGCUGGAGACAGGAAGUUAUGUUUUGAAAACAAAGGGGGUUUUCAUCAACUGACUUUGAGCUUUAAGGUAUAAUUGAGUAACAUUAAGACUUAUAAUUCUAGUUUAAAAUGUCUUGAAUAACUUUCAGCAUGAAGUAUUGUGUGGUGAAACAAUGUGUAUGUACUACAAUGUGUAAAUCAACAAUAAGUUUGUUGCAAAGGAGAUUCAAAGUGGAUGGUUAAAGUGAUAUGGUCUCAUAAUUCAUCAACUGCCUGUUAUCUUGGAAUACUGAAGAACAGUUGUUUUAGGUUAAACUCCCAAGGUGAAAUUUACAUUGAUUGGAAGAUUCUUUGGAUAGAAUAUUCCUGCCAAAAGACAGCAGAAGGGGGACUAACUGAUGUAUGGAUUUUGACACCAGAGUUUACCCUGCACGAGCAGCCCAACUUGAGUAGAUCAGGAGUGGGAAAACCGAGCCCUGUCCUUGACCAAGGAAAGUUGGAUUUGUUGAGAGGACCUGAUCUCAAAUGAGAUCAUGCACAGGACGCACCUCGCAAAGACCAUGACAGUAUAGUUUUCAGACCUGAUCAGCUGGUGACUGCUCUAUGAAGUGCUGUUCAACCUCCCCUAAGGGGGAGAUUCGAGAGGGUCUCCUGAUUGCUGAACACUACGCCAUGGUUGUUGUCAUCUCCAAAAAGUUUGCCCUGCCCAUAUCAACAGUGGAAGAGAACAUGAGAUGGGCCUUGAGGAGGCUUCGUGUCAUGUACUGCGGGGAGAAUAUAUAAACUGUUAAGUGCUGAGCAAUAUGUUCCUUUGUUCAUAGGUGUAAAUAUGUGUAAAGGGCUAUUCCAGGAAAAGAUAGGAUGAAGGAUUCCUUAAUGUUGUCAUUUUAUAAAUCCGGUACCACCAACACAGUUAAAAACAAUUAUUAUUAAUUUUAUCCUCUGUAUCACCCCUCACUAACUGAAACUGUAUAUAAUCAUGGUUCAUACCCUUCCUCCCAUUUUUACCUGUGGUAGCCCAAAGAGGAGAAUGUUAUUUAUUUUAAUAUAUUAUGUUAAAUGUGCUCGCAUAUUGUGAUAAUGUAUCUUGGGUAGAUGUUUUCCUGGUUUUGUUAAAAAUGCACUGUAAAAAUGUUCACAUUAUUUGUUUUUUUUAAUAUAAACAUUGUUUUUUGCAAAUUGUGUGUGUCUUUUAUUUAUAAUCACAUGGGGCUUGUAAUGAUCUGUUGUGAUUUUAUCUCAAAUAACCUUUUUACCAUUAAGGUGUAAAUAUUUUUUUUUACAAAGGUUACAGGUCAAACAAGCAAAAUUUUAUGAUCCCUUAAGCGAACAAAAGACUCACAAAAACC